GAAAUGCGAAAAUUAAUGUGAAUUGCAGAAUUCAGUGAAUCAUCGAGUCUUUGAACGCACAUUGCGCCCCCUGGUAUUCCGGGGGGCAUGCCUGUCCGAGCGUCAUUGCUGCCCUCAAGCACGGCUUGUGUGUUGGGCUUCCGUCCCUGGCAACGGGGACGGGCCCAAAAGGCAGUGGCGGCACCAUGUCUGGUCCUCGAGCGUAUGGGGCUUUGUCACCCGCUCCCGUAGGUCCAGCUGGCAGCUAGCCUCGCAACCAAUCUUUUUAACCAGGUUGACCUCGGAUCAGGUAGGGAUACCCGCUGAACUUAAGC
This 314-nucleotide unclassified non-coding RNA is filed under the name plant metagenome. Its description in RNAcentral is "partial contains 5.8S ribosomal RNA, internal transcribed spacer 2, and large subunit ribosomal RNA". The stretch from base 1 to 105 matches the Rfam family "5.8S ribosomal RNA", at positions 50 to 154 of the family's 154-position model. The record is from RNAcentral.